GACGAACGCUGGCGGCGUGCUUAACACAUGCAAGUCGAACGGAAAGGCCCUGCUUUUGUGGGGUGCUCGAGUGGCGAACGGGUGAGUAACACGUGAGUAACCUGCCCUUGACUUUGGGAUAACUUCAGGAAACUGGGGCUAAUACCGGAUAGGAGCUCCUGCUGCAUGGUGGGGGUUGGAAAGUUUCGGCGGUUGGGGAUGGACGCGCGGGUUAUCAGCUUGUUGGUGGGGUAGUGGCUUACCAAGGCUUUGACGGGUAGCCGGCCUGAGAGGGUGACCGGCCACAUUGGGACUGAGAUACGGACCAGACUCCUACGGGAGGCAGCAGUGGGGAAUAUUGCACAAUGGGCGGAAGCCUGAUGCAGAAACGCCGCGUGCGGGAUGACGGCCUUCGGGUUGUAAACCGCUUUCGCCUGUGACGAAGCGUGAGUGACGGUAAUGGGUAAAGAAGCACCGGCUAACUACGUG
This 468-nucleotide ribosomal RNA is filed under the name uncultured bacterium. RNAcentral's name for it is "partial 16S ribosomal RNA". It matches the Rfam family "Bacterial small subunit ribosomal RNA", at positions 28 to 507 of the family's 1533-position model. The record is from RNAcentral.